GACGAACGCUGGCGGCGUGCCUAAUACAUGCAAGUCGAGCGGACCAAAGGGAGCUUGCUCCUGGAGGUUAGCGGCGAACGGGUGAGUAACACGUGGGCAACCUGCCUGUAAGACUGGGAUAACAUCGAGAAAUCGGUGCUAAUACCGGAUAAUAAAAAGAACUGCAUGGUUCUUUUUUGAAAGAUGGUUUCGGCUAUCACUUACAGAUGGGCCCGCGGCGCAUUAGCUAGUUGGUGAGGUAACGGCUCACCAAGGCAACGAUGCGUAGCCGACCUGAGAGGGUGAUCGGCCACACUGGGACUGAGACACGGCCCAGACUCCUACGGGAGGCAGCAGUAGGGAAUCUUCCGCAAUGGACGAAAGUCUGACGGAGCAACGCCGCGUGAGUGAUGAAGGUUUUCGGAUCGUAAAACUCUGUUGUUAGGGAAGAACAAGUGCCGUUCGAAAGGGCGGCACCUUGACGGUACCUAACGAGAAAGCCACGGCUAACUACGUGCAGCAGCCGC
RNAcentral lists this ribosomal RNA (506 nucleotides) under uncultured bacterium. Its description in RNAcentral is "bacterial SSU rRNA". It matches the Rfam family "Bacterial small subunit ribosomal RNA", at positions 28 to 518 of the family's 1533-position model. The record is from RNAcentral.